AAACUGAAUAUGAGAAUUGGUGGAAAUUAAACCCAUUUGAUCUGGGGAACAAAUUAAAAUGGGUUUAAUUUCCUCCAAUAUCUCAUUUUCAGUUU
RNAcentral lists this microRNA precursor (95 nucleotides) under Ipomoea nil (Japanese morning glory). Its description in RNAcentral is "MIR2275 microRNA precursor family". It matches the Rfam family "MIR2275 microRNA precursor family". The record is from Rfam by way of RNAcentral. Lineage: Eukaryota; Viridiplantae; Streptophyta; Magnoliopsida; Solanales; Convolvulaceae.